CAGCCGCCACGGUAAUCCGUAGGUGGCAAGCGUUGUCCGGAAUUAUUGGGCGUAAAGGGCUCGCAGGCGGUUUCUUAAGUCUGAUGUGAAAGCCCCCGGCUCAACCGGGGAGGGUCAUUGGAAACUGGGAAACUUGAGUGCAGAAGAGGAGAGUGGAAUUCCACGUGUAGCGGUGAAAUGCGUAGAGAUGUGGAGGAACACCAGUGGCGAAGGCGACUCUCUGGUCUGUAACUGACGCUGAGGAGCGAAAGCGUGGGGAGCGAACAGGAUUAGAUACCCCUGUAGUCCCUGUCUCUUAUAC
This 301-nucleotide ribosomal RNA is filed under the name uncultured bacterium. Its description in RNAcentral is "partial 16S ribosomal RNA". It matches the Rfam family "Bacterial small subunit ribosomal RNA", at positions 509 to 807 of the family's 1533-position model. The record is from RNAcentral.